AGAAUCAACGCUGGCGGCGUGCCUAACACAUGCAAGUCGAACGAGAAAGUGGAGCAAUCCAUGAGUACAGUGGCGGCACGGGUGAGUAACACGUGACUAACCUACCCUUGAGUGGGGAAUAACCUGGAGAAAUCUAGGCUAAUACCGCAUAACACCUACGGGUCAAAGGAGCAAUUCGCUUAAGGAGGGGGUCGCGGCAGAUUAGCUAGUUGGCGGGUAAUGGCCCACCAAGGCAGUGAUCUGUA
Molecule: ribosomal RNA, 245 nt
Filed under: uncultured bacterium
Lineage: Bacteria
Description: partial small subunit ribosomal RNA
Rfam family: Bacterial small subunit ribosomal RNA
Source: RNAcentral